RNAcentral lists this transfer RNA (65 nucleotides) under Gehyra crypta. RNAcentral's name for it is "tRNA-Trp". Lineage: Eukaryota; Metazoa; Chordata; Lepidosauria; Squamata; Gekkonidae. The record is from RNAcentral.
GAACUUAGGUUAAUACAAACCAGGGGCCUUCAAAGCCCCAGACAAGCUAACAUGCUUAGUCCCUG